GCAGCCCAUCGCUUGUGCCACAGCUACAACCAGCGGCUGGGCGUAACUUCUGCCUGGCCCCUCAGCUAGUCGCUACAUGCUUCCACUAUGUAAGGCCGCUGUGGGACAUACGUAUGAACUUCUACCAUGUUCACAUAUCUUCUUGCUCCAGGAUUUACACGUAGACACAACUCUGAAACUUACUUUUUCCGCAUCUGAAGGAUUCUCCUGAGUUGGGGUUAGAGCGAACACUCAGAGGGCACAUGUCCAUCAUAGCAAUGUCCAGCCCCUUUAUGACAUGUCCAACACCAAGAACAAACCAUUUGGGGUGGCCUUCAUCUUGUGUCCGGCUAUGAGAAACCAUACUUUUUUUGUAAGUAAGCUGAUCUCAUAAAGGAAACUUUUAAAUCCA
This is a long non-coding RNA of Mastomys coucha (southern multimammate mouse), 391 nucleotides long. RefSeq lists it as uncharacterized. The record is from RefSeq and is a predicted model, not a curated record. NCBI's taxonomy places the organism in Eukaryota, Metazoa, Chordata, Mammalia, Rodentia, Muridae. The transcript is spliced from 3 exons.